This is a long non-coding RNA of Schistocerca gregaria, 625 nucleotides long. RefSeq lists it as uncharacterized. NCBI's taxonomy places the organism in Eukaryota, Metazoa, Arthropoda, Insecta, Orthoptera, Acrididae. The record is from RefSeq and is a predicted model, not a curated record. The transcript has 4 exons.
GCCCAAUGUCUACUCCCUCCCUCCGACCCCUCCAACUCAAAACCGCAAGCUGCGCCCGCCUCCUUAAAGACCUCCAGUUCUACCAACUCGAGGAAACUCGACAGCGAGAAAAAAUAGCUAAAAUGAACCAAAACGGCGACGAUCCUUACCUCAUCAAAAAACAGGAAGAGGUUCUCGCCGAAACUCUCCAAGUCAUCCCAAACACGCACAAUCGCCUCCGAGCCGCUCACCGCGAGCUCCGCUCACUGCUCCACCCAAAGCUCGAUGACGAAGCACUGGCCCACACCCCCGAAUGGAAAGAGGCCCUCGACAUCGACGCCAAAAUCGAUAAAUUAAUUUAUUAAAAACCUUUGCUUUGACGAACUCUUUUGUGUGCCUGUAACAAUUCGAGAGACCGCUCUCUAGUUCUGCGCGAAAAGGGCAGAGCCACCACCUCGGACCUCUCCACCUGUAUAGCGCUCUCUUCGCACCUCUUAAUUUCCUCUCUUAUCGUGUUCGCGGCCGCCGCAUUCACCAAACACCCCCUCUUCGCGUAAUUCUCCGCUCUCAACGCCCAAAGGUUCAGCAAGCCCUCCUUCCUACCUCGGCCACCCUCCUCGCUCUGAAACACGUCAAUCGCUCUCCU